CAGUCGCCACGGGAAUACGAAGGGUGCAAGCGUUACUCGGAAUUACUGGGCGUAAAGCGUGCGUAGGUGGUGGUUUAAGUCCGUUGUGAAAGCCCUGGGCUCAACCUGGGAAUUGCAGUGGAUACUGGGUCACUAGAGUGUGGUAGAGGAUAGUGGAAUUUCCGGUGUAGCAGUGAAAUGCGUAGAGAUCGGAAGGAACAUCUGUGGCGAAGGCGACUAUCUGGGCCAACACUGACACUGAGGCACGAAAGCGUGGGGAGCAAACAGGAUUAGAUACCCCGGUAGUCCCUGUCUCUUAUAC
Molecule: ribosomal RNA, 301 nt
Filed under: uncultured bacterium
Lineage: Bacteria
Description: partial 16S ribosomal RNA
Rfam family: Bacterial small subunit ribosomal RNA
Source: RNAcentral